Molecule: non-coding RNA, 146 nt
Organism: Bacillus sp. FJAT-27231
Lineage: Bacteria; Bacillati; Bacillota; Bacilli; Caryophanales; Bacillaceae
Source: Rfam
GCCCAAAGGUUCCCUCAGAAUGGUUGGAAAUCAUUCGCAGAGUGUAAAGGCACAAGGGAGCUUGACUGCGAGACCUACAAGUCGAGCAGGGACGAAAGUCGGGCUUAGUGAUCCGGUGGUUCCGCAUGGAAGGGCCAUCGCUCAAC